GCCGUGCUACAUGAGGCGGUCGAGUCAGAGGAUGCGAGUCGAUGGAUCCACGGACGCCGCGAGCUGAUGCUUGAGGCGGUCAAGUCUGAGGUUGUGUUUUGUAAAAUGGCAUAGUCGUCGGUCUCUUUGGCGAGGUCUCUUUCGAUUAACUUCACAGUGGCAGCCGCCGCAGUGCAUGUCCCAAGUCUCAGCCCCCAUCUCGUGUUCUUGCAUAUCAAGAAGCAGGAACGGCUAUACUAAAGGCCAUCAAUUUCCAUGUCUUCCAGACCUUAACCAAGCAUCACUGAUGAGGGAAGAUGCCACUUCCUUGGCUCAAACUGCAGGAUUUAGAUCCACCUCUUGAUGUAAGAAUCGACCUUGUGUAUUUUAUUUUUUACCACCUUCUAACUGUAAAUAACAGUGACAGACUUGUACUGCUAUGAAGUUGUUAUCUAUUUGUUUCAUUAGUUACAAAGUGGCAACACUCCUUUCUUUAGUUUCAAUUUUUUCUGGUAGAAGUGUACCACAGUACUAACCUUCAAGAGAUUAGUAUUUCAGGGGGCUAAUUAUGAAAUAAAAUGAAUGAGGAAAUUUCCUUGGUUAUUGAACUGAGUUAACCUACACGUAUGUAUAUGACAGGAGUAAUGACUAAUGAGGUAACCUAUCUCAUGUGACUUUCUUGCCUUUUCAAUUGCUGGUUUCAAUUCCUUGGCUGUAGCUACCUUGAUUUUUCAGAAGACCAUUAGCUAUCUUGAUUUGAAGGUGUAUCAUGUUUAUGUAUUGCUUUAUUAUUUCCACAAGUUAAGUAGCAGUAGGUAGCUUGGUUUUUACUAGAAUUUCCUUGACAUAAUAUUUGGUGCUUCUCCUCAUCAUUUAGACAGCAAGAGAACAAUGGCUUGCAUACAUGAAGGCUAUCUCCAACAUUGCUUGAUUUGCAGUUUAUUCCCAGGCUUGAAACAGUGGCAUAUAGUAUUAUCUUACAGAACAAUAGAUGAUUCCGCUUUCAGAGAGCUGAUCAUACCUAUCUUGCUCGAUUUGAUGUUGUUCCGUGUGUUACUUUGUACCUCUCGACACAAUGAAUAUGAAGGAGAGGCACUCCAAGAGUUCAUGUUUAAUUACAAGAUCUAUAGCUAUUUCGUUUACAUUAGGAGCAGUACCAAUCUGUUUCUAAUUCAGGUUAAACUAGGAACAUCUAUGGAAGGAUAAAUUUUAGUAUUUGAUCCUUCUAUUGACAAGUCGUAUAACUUAUGAUAUUAUAGAGUUUAGAGAUGCUUAUCCUGUUCUAUAUGGCUUAAGUUAUAUCAGUAGUUAUGUACUGUAGUUUUGCCGAGAUAGGAUACAUUAUAUGGAAAUAAGAUGUAUGCAAAAACUUUGCAGGAAGUGCUUGUAUAUUGGAGGAAGCCAAAAUGUUAGAGAACUCAGAUGCAUGGGUAUAGAAAUCAGAUAAAAUUUGCUUCUU
This is a long non-coding RNA of Triticum aestivum (bread wheat), 1438 nucleotides long. RefSeq lists it as uncharacterized. Lineage: Eukaryota; Viridiplantae; Streptophyta; Magnoliopsida; Poales; Poaceae. The transcript has 2 exons. The record is from RefSeq and is a predicted model, not a curated record.